This 301-nucleotide ribosomal RNA is filed under the name uncultured bacterium. Its description in RNAcentral is "partial 16S ribosomal RNA". It matches the Rfam family "Bacterial small subunit ribosomal RNA", at positions 509 to 809 of the family's 1533-position model. The record is from RNAcentral.
CAGUAGCCGCGGGAAAACGAAGGGUGCAAGCGUUACUCGGAAUUACUGGGCGUAAAGCGUGCGUAGGUGGUUGUUUAAGUCUGCUGUGAAAGCCCUGGGCUCAACCUGGGAAUUGCAGUGGAUACUGGGCAACUAGAGUAAGGUAGAGGAUAGUGGAAUUUCCGGUGUAGCAGUGAAAUGCGUAGAGAUCGGAAGGAACAUCUGUGGCGAAGGCGACUAUCUGGGCCAACACUGACACUGAGGCACGAAAGCGUGGGGAGCAAACAGGAUUAGAUACCCGCGUAGUCCCUGUCUCUUAUAA